AGAUGACAGAUUCCUGCAUCAUGUAGCAACGCCGGGACAACCUGCGGCAUCUGGCCUGGCUGGCAGGCGGGCAGGCUGGGAGAGGCAGCUGGCUCGUCCUUUGGGGAGGGAAACGCUCCUGUUUCUGCCUUGCUCACUGCCAGUUAAGUGGUUGUUCUGAGGAAACUGUGUGUCCUUUCUUCCAGCAAGGUUCUCCAGUCCUCUGGCUCCACAGGCUGGACGCAAGGAGGGUGAUGGAGGCACAUGUCUAGUGGGGAGCUAGGGGUAAUCUCUGGCUCUUUCAUGCUCCCAGCCCUGACAAUGACUGCAACUCCUAUUCCUGAGAAUCCUUAGAAGCCCAAGAAAGAAGAGGGCUGGGGCCCAGCUUAAUCACAAGGGUCCUGUGCCAGGAAGGCAGAGGGUCAGAGUUAGAGAGGAAUGUGACGAUGGAAAGAAAGGUUAGAGUGAUGCACCUGGAAGACAGUCGAAGGACCACAAGCCAAGGAACGCAGGUGGUCUCCAGAAGCUGGAAAAGACAAGCAGCUGCAUUCUCCCCAAGAGUCUCCAGGAGGAACGUACCCUUCCCAACACCUUGAUUUUAGCCUCAUUAGACUUCUGACCUCCA
Molecule: long non-coding RNA, 604 nt
Organism: Balaenoptera ricei (Rice's whale)
Lineage: Eukaryota; Metazoa; Chordata; Mammalia; Artiodactyla; Balaenopteridae
Exons: 3
Source: RefSeq, a predicted model, not a curated record